CCUACGGGAGGCAGCAGUGAGGAAUAUUGGUCAAUGGGCGCUAGCCUGAACCAGCCAAGUAGCGUGAAGGAUGACUGCCCUAUGGGUUGUAAACUUCUUUUAUAUGGGAAUAAAGUGCAGUAUGUAUACUGCUUUGCAUGUACCUUAUGAAUAAGGAUCGGCUAACUCCGUGCCAGCAGCCGCGGUAAUACGGAGGAUCCGAGCGUUAUCCGGAUUUAUUGGGUUUAAAGGGAGCGUAGGCGGGUUGUUAAGUCAGUGGUGAAAGUUUGCGGCUCAACCGUAAAAUUGCAGUUGAUACUGGCAGCCUUGAGUACAGUAGAGGUAGGCGGAAUUCGUGGUGUAGCGGUGAAAUGCUUAGAUAUCACGAAGAACUCCGAUUGCGAAGGCAGCCUGCUGGACUGUAACUGACGCUGAUGCUCGAAAGUGUGGGUAUCAAACAGGAUUAGAUACCCCUGUAGUA
This 460-nucleotide ribosomal RNA is filed under the name uncultured bacterium. RNAcentral describes it as "partial 16S ribosomal RNA". It matches the Rfam family "Bacterial small subunit ribosomal RNA", at positions 338 to 795 of the family's 1533-position model. The record is from RNAcentral.